This 445-nucleotide ribosomal RNA is filed under the name uncultured bacterium. RNAcentral's name for it is "partial 16S ribosomal RNA". It matches the Rfam family "Bacterial small subunit ribosomal RNA", at positions 354 to 796 of the family's 1533-position model. The record is from RNAcentral.
GUGAGGAAUAUUGGUCAAUGGGCGAGAGCCUGAACCAGCCAAGUCGCGUGAAGGAAGAAGGAUCUAUGGAUCGUAAACUUCUUUUGCAGGGGAAUAAAGUGCGGGACGUGUCCUGUUUUGUAUGUACCCUGAGAAUAAGGAUCGGCUAACUCCGUGCCAGCAGCCGCGGUAAUACGGAGGAUCCGAGCGUUAUCCGGAUUUAUUGGGUUUAAAGGGUGCGUAGGUGGUUUGAUAAGUCAGCGGUGAAAGUUUGCAGCUUAACUGUAAAAAUGCCGUUGAAACUGUCGGACUUGAGUGUAAAUGAGGUAGGCGGAAUGCGUGGUGUAGCGGUGAAAUGCAUAGAUAUCACGCAGAACUCCGAUUGCGAAGGCAGCUUACUAAGCUACAACUGACACUGAAGCACGAAAGCGUGGGGAUCAAACAGGAUUAGAUACCCUUGUAGUCC